RNAcentral lists this ribosomal RNA (252 nucleotides) under uncultured bacterium. RNAcentral's name for it is "partial 16S ribosomal RNA". It matches the Rfam family "Archaeal small subunit ribosomal RNA", at positions 474 to 727 of the family's 1478-position model. The record is from RNAcentral.
UACCAGCACCCCGAGUGGUCGGGACGAUUAUUGGGCCUAAAGCAUCCGUAGCCGGUCCUGCAAGUCUUCCGUUAAAUCCAGCUGCUCAACAGAUGGGCUGCGGAGGAUACUACAGGGCUAGGAGGCGGGAGAGGCAAGCGGUACUUUAUGGGUAGGGGUAAAAUCCGUUGAUCCAUAGAAGACCACCAGUGGCGAAGGCGGCUUGCCAGAACGCGCUCGACGGUGAGGGAUGAAAGCUGGGGAGCAAACCGG